CGAAACCCCACUUCAUUAGAGAUUGAGUUUGAAACCUUCAUUUACAUCUGGUAAUUUAGUACUUGUUCUACUUGUUCUUGCUGGUUCUUCGAUUGCUUGCAGGACGAGUGCCCUAGUGGCCGGGUGUUGCGCUCCACAAGAUCGUGACAGCCAUUGGAGGCGGUGUAUCGGUUGCUAAGGCGCAGUCUUGAGGGCUGUAGUCGGGCCGUGAACGUCAUCUCCAUUCACUAAUCGAGUUAUCCAGCGCCUCUCAUCGAAAGAUCAGGCGAAAACCCUAGUGGGUUCACAUCAGUUGGUAUCAGAGCAAGGUUUAUCGGUGAGAGAUUUCCAAUUCUUCGUGUUUGUUUUUCCUAUAGUCCAAAAAAAAGACAAAAAAUAUAGCAGAUUUGUUUUCCAUAAUCCUAUAAAUCCUUUGUGCCGUGGCUAGUACUACUUAGUUAGGGCUGGUUGAAUGAGUGUUUGCUUCGGUCGUGUCCAGUGCUGGUUUAGUUUAGUCCUUUAGAGUUUUGAGUUCUUGUCACCAUCUAGUCACAACUGCGUCCAAUCUAUUGUGGGUUGGAAUUUGAGUAGAUCUUGAUAAUAGGUGCAGCCACUUGUUGGUCUAUUCUGCGUUUCCAUCAACUAGAUCCAAAAGGAAAGAUAGCACUUCAUACUUGUGCUAGAUAUAUUGAAUUUUGAGGUUCAGCCUUACUCUAGUGAGAGGGUGAGAGUGGUGAAGUGAUAUUUUGUACUAUUUUGUUUAUAUAAUCAGGUUUUGAGGUUCCCAAAAAAAAGAAAAGAGAAAGAAAAAAAAUAGAGAAAAAAAAGAAAGAAAGAAAGAAAGAAAAAAAAAUCAAAAAAAGGGGAUUGUUGUUCCUUUUGUUUCCAGUAGGGCUGCUCAUUUUGUUUCUAGUGGUGUGCUGAGUUUUCCCUUUGUGUCCAGGCUCGCGUCUCUAGCACGGUCUAGGCUAGGACCAGCACAGUACCACCGUUGAGCGUUUAUUCAGCUCGCUUUUAUAACUAACGUGGUGCUAGUUCGUUCCUUGUUUCAGCCCACCUAUAGCUCCACAUACUCUACAGCUUGACAGGUCUUGUGCUGCAGCACCGAUACACUUCGUCCAUUGCUGUACACUUGU
Molecule: long non-coding RNA, 1115 nt
Filed under: Sorghum bicolor (sorghum)
Lineage: Eukaryota; Viridiplantae; Streptophyta; Magnoliopsida; Poales; Poaceae
Description: long non-coding RNA (SBIC_LNC018630)
Source: RNAcentral